GACGAACGCUGGCGGCGUGCUUAACACAUGCAAGUCGAACGGAAAGGCCCUGCUUUUGUGGGGUGCUCGAGUGGCGAACGGGUGAGUAACACGUGAGUAACCUGCCCUUGACUUUGGGAUAACUUCAGGAAACUGGGGCUAAUACCGGAUAGGAGCUCCUGCUGCAUGGUGGGGGUUGGAAAGUUUCGGCGGUUGGGGAUGGACUCGCGGCUUAUCAGCUUGUUGGUGGGGUAGUGGCUUACCAAGGCUUUGACGGGUAGCCGGCCUGAGAGGGUGACCGGCCACAGUGGGACUGGGAUACGGCCCAGACUGAUACGGGAGGCAGCAGUGGGGAAUAUUGCGCGAUGGGCGGAGGCCUGAUGGAGCAACGCCGCGUGCGAGAUGACGGCCUUCGGGUUGUAAACCGCUUUCGCCGGUGACGAAGCGUGAGUGACGGUAAUGGGUAAAGAAGCACCGGCUAACUACGUG
Molecule: ribosomal RNA, 468 nt
Filed under: uncultured bacterium
Lineage: Bacteria
Description: partial 16S ribosomal RNA
Rfam family: Bacterial small subunit ribosomal RNA
Source: RNAcentral